Molecule: ribosomal RNA, 255 nt
Filed under: uncultured bacterium
Lineage: Bacteria
Description: partial 16S ribosomal RNA
Rfam family: Bacterial small subunit ribosomal RNA
Source: RNAcentral
UACGUAGGCAGCAAGCGUUGUUCGGAAUUACUGGGCGUAAAGAGUGUGUAGGCGGUGCUCCAAGUCUGGUGUGAAAUCUCCCGGCUUGACUGGGAGGGGUGCAUUAGAAACUGGAAUGCUAGAGGAUGGGGAGAGGUAAGCGGAAUUCCUGGUGUAGCGGUGAAAUGCGUAGAUAUCAGGAGGAACACCUGUGGUGUAGACAGCUUACUGGACCAUUUCUGACGCUGAGACACGAAAGCGUGGGUAGCAAACAGG